This 252-nucleotide unclassified non-coding RNA is filed under the name Hevea brasiliensis (rubber tree). Lineage: Eukaryota; Viridiplantae; Streptophyta; Magnoliopsida; Malpighiales; Euphorbiaceae. The record is from RNAcentral.
GGAUGAACAUGCGGAAACUUCUCAGGAAAGGACUGUCGAGCAUGACGAGGAAGUUGGCGAAUAUAUCUUCUUGCAUUUUCAUUCACAUAUCCCAGAUCAGUCUCAUCCGGAGUGCCAAUAAGCUCCAUCAGUAAACGAAGUUGAUGCACAUGGUCUCUCCCUGGAAAUAAAGGCUUGCGGUCCAUCAGCUCCAUAAAUAUGCAUCCGACAGACCACACAUCAAUUGAUGCAGUAUAUUCUGAAGAAUUCAAC